Molecule: ribosomal RNA, 459 nt
Filed under: uncultured bacterium
Lineage: Bacteria
Description: partial 16S ribosomal RNA
Rfam family: Bacterial small subunit ribosomal RNA
Source: RNAcentral
CCUACGGGAGGCAGCAGUGAGGAAUAUUGGUCAAUGGGCGCGAGCCUGAACCAGCCAAGUCGCGUGAGGGAAGACGGUCCUAUGGAUUGUAAACCUCUUUUGUCGGGGAGCAAAAGACGCCACGCGUGGCGUUCCGAGAGUACCCGAAGAAAAAGCAUCGGCUAACUCCGUGCCAGCAGCCGCGGUAAUACGGAGGAUGCGAGCGUUAUCCGGAUUGAUUGGGUUAAAAGGGUGCGCAGGGGGAAGACAAAGUCAGGGGUAAAAUUGAGGGGCUAAACCGCUACGAGCCGUUGAAACUGGUUGUCUUGAGUGAGUGAGAGGUAUGCGGAAUGCGUGGUGUAGCGGUGAAAUGCAUAGAUAUCACGCAGAACUCCGAUUGCGAAGGCAGCAUACCGGCGCUCAACUGACGCUCAUGCACGAAAGUGUGGGUAUCGAACAGGAUUAGAUACCCUAGUAGUC